RNAcentral lists this long non-coding RNA (1179 nucleotides) under Anser brachyrhynchus (Pink-footed goose). RNAcentral's name for it is "lncRNA (ENSABRG00000018957.1)". Lineage: Eukaryota; Metazoa; Chordata; Aves; Anseriformes; Anatidae. The record is from RNAcentral.
AUGCUCAGCGCCACCAACACCGCGAGCGCUCAGCAUCCCUGCAGCCCCGCGGGAUUCACCUCGGUGCCUUCCCCAGGCACGGGUCGCACCCCAAACAGCCGGUCAGGGACAAGAAACCCCUCCUGCCCCUAUUUCCCCCCACGGAGCCUCUUCCCCUUUUUGCUUUCAGCGCAGCCCAGGGGCUUUCCACUUGCCCAUCUCUCUGCCACCCGGCCCCACGCUGGUGCGGGAUGCUCCGUGCCGUGGGGUGAUGCUCCGAGCCAUCGGGCGAUGCUCCAAGCCAUGGGGGAUGCUCCGAGCCAUCAGACGGUGCCCCACACCUCGGGCAAUGCCCCGUGCCCUGCUCCUGGUCCUUCUCGGUCCCUGCCCCCCUGGUCCUGCUGCCCCCCCCGAUCUGUGCCCUCCGCACCCCCUCCCGCAGCCAACUUCGGCGCUCUCCUUCCCGCCGACGCUGCCGCCGGAGGGACAGAUGGUGCCCUCGGAGACACCUGCUUGGGUUCUGUCUUGGCUCCCAACUUGCAUUAUUUCACCCGCCAGCCUGGUACUGCUCCCAGGGAGCUCGGGGUUAGGAAGCGAGUUGUUCCAGAAGAAAGAUGCUGCGUUGGCACCACCGCUGCAAAAUCCCAGCCAGUCAGCGUCGCCUGGUACCGCCCCAAUGGUCUACAAACCCCACAGGGACUCAGGUGUCCUGUCAGUCCCGUUGGUGCCAGAUGCACCAUGGAGGGAGGUGGCAGUCCCAAGGACUGGGGUAGCACUGGCUGGGUGCCCAUGGUCCCUGCCCACCUCCUCGGGCACGGCACCCCAGGGUGCUGGGGCUUGGGGACAGGGACAGGGGACUUGGUCCCCACGGAGGAGGCUGAUAUGGGAUCAGCCUGGGUGACCCCAUCCUCUGCUUUCACCCCUAAAAUGGAUGGCGAUUGGGAUGGGGAUGGGGAUGGGACUGGGGAUGGGAUUGGGGAUGGGAUUGGAGAUGAGGAUGGGGAUGGGGAUGGGAUGGGGAUGGGGAUGGGGAUGGGUUUCCUGGCCCUCUGCACCCCUGCUCCUGGAGUGCUGUGCUUGUGCGUGGUCCGUGGCCACCUGCCGACGGCUUCUCCCGCUCCCCUGCCCUCCCACAUCGCCUCUCCUCCUCCUCCCCGUGCGCUGGGUGCAAUGAGAAAUGUACUUGGCUCCCGAUCCUAG